Molecule: ribosomal RNA, 437 nt
Filed under: uncultured bacterium
Lineage: Bacteria
Description: partial 16S ribosomal RNA
Rfam family: Bacterial small subunit ribosomal RNA
Source: RNAcentral
AGCGAACGCUGGCGGCAGGCUUAACACAUGCAAGUCGAGCGGGCAUCCUUGUGGUGUCAGCGGCAGACGGGUGAGUAACGCGUGGGAACGUGCCCUUCGGUUCGGAAUAACUCAGGGAAACUUGAGCUAAUACCGGAUACGUGCGAGAGCAGAAAGGUUUAUCUGCCGAAGGAUCGGCCCGCGUCUGAUUAGCUAGUUGGUGAGGUUACGGCUCACCAAGGCGACGAUCAGUAGCUGGUCUGAGAGGAUGAUCAGCCACACUGGGACUGAGACACGGCCCAGACUCCUACGGUAGGCAGCAGUGGGGAAUAUUGGACAAUGGGGGCAACCCUGAUCCAGCCAUGCCGCGUGAGUGAUGACGGCCUUAGGGUUGUAAAGCUCUUUUCUCCGGGACGAUAAUGACGGUACCGGAGGAAUAAGCCCCGGCUAACUUCGUG